AUUGAACGCUGGCGGCAGGCCUAACACAUGCAAGUCGAGCGGAUGAAGGGAGCUUGCUCCUGGAUUCAGCGGCGGACGGGUGAGUAAUGCCUAGGAAUCUGCCUGGUAGUGGGGGAUAACGUCCGGAAACGGGCGCUAAUACCGCAUACGUCCUGAGGGAGAAAGUGGGGGAUCUUCGGACCUCACGCUAUCAGAUGAGCCUAGGUCGGAUUAGCUAGUUGGUGGGGUAAAGGCCUACCAAGGCGACGAUCCGUAACUGGUCUGAGAGGAUGAUCAGUCAACCUGGACUUGAGCCCGGUCCCAGCUCCUAAGGGGAGCAAGAAUGGGGAAAUUUUGACCAUUGGCGAAAAGCUUGUUCCGGCCAGGCCGGGGUUGUGAAGAAGGUCUUCGGAUUGUAAAGCACUUUAAGUUGGAAGAAAGGCAAGUAGGUUAAUCCUUUGCUGUUUGACGUUACCAACAGAAUAAGCACCGGCUAACUUCGUG
RNAcentral lists this ribosomal RNA (483 nucleotides) under uncultured bacterium. RNAcentral describes it as "partial 16S ribosomal RNA". It matches the Rfam family "Bacterial small subunit ribosomal RNA", at positions 30 to 507 of the family's 1533-position model. The record is from RNAcentral.